Molecule: unclassified non-coding RNA, 200 nt
Filed under: Herpotrichiellaceae sp.
Lineage: Eukaryota; Fungi; Ascomycota; Eurotiomycetes; Chaetothyriales; Herpotrichiellaceae
Description: partial internal transcribed spacer 2
Source: RNAcentral
UUAAGUUCAGCGGGUAUUCCUACCUGAUCCGAGGUCAACCUUGUAAAUGAUAUGGGUUGAGACUAGAGCCGUGAGCCCCUUGAAUGCGUGCUACGAGAGCUCGUUGCAUCUAGGGUCCGACGACUCCGCCAUUAACUUUAGGACCCGUCUUUAACGACGAGAGGUCCAACAGCAAGCCAGGCUUGAGGGUUGAUAAUGAC